UCGAUAUAGUUUGAUUUAUAUUUGGAUAAUGUAUUUAUUUAUUUGUUUAUAAUUUAUUGUUAUGAAAAUAUUUAUUAGUUUUUGUAUAUUAUUUGUGAUUUAAUUUUUAUAUUGUUGUUUACUGUGAAGGAUUAUUGAUUGAUUUCUGUAAGUAAAAUUUAUUUUUUGUACCUUGUGUAUCAGGGUUAAUUAAAUUUUAUUAUAUAUUUUUAUUUCCCGAUUUUGAAAGAUUUAUUUUAUUAUUUUAUUUAUUGUAGCAUAAAUAUUAAUAAUAUAUUAUAGAAGUGAAAUGUUAUACGUUUUCUUUGGUAUCUGGUUUUUUGGGAAUUGAAUUUAAUUCAUAAUUUUAUUUUUGUAUUUUAUUAUUUUGUUUAAUUUUGUUUUAAUAAAUUUUAUUAUUGAGGGGGAUAAGCUCUUUUAUAUAAUAUUAUGGUAUUUUAGUUAUUAUAUUUUGUUGGUUUUAUAUUAACUAUCAUUUUGAUUAUGUUAUAAUUUUAUUUUGUGAAUUUGUAAUUUGUUUUUAUCUAAUUUUUUACUGAAAUUUUGUUUAUAAUUGUAAAUUAUUUGUAAUUAUGAUUGAAUUAGUAUAUUAUAUAUUUUAUAUUAUUUGGUUUUUGUUAUUAAUAUUGUUAAUGAAUUAGGCAAAUAUUAUUUUCGCCUGUUUAUCAAAAACAUCUCUUCUUGUUAUUUAUUUGAAGUAUAAUCUGCCCACUGAUAUUACAUUAAAGGGCCGCGGUAUAUUGACCGUGCAAAGGUAGCAUAAUCAUUAGUCUUUUAAUUGAAGACUGGAAUGAAUGAUUGGACGAGAAGUAAUCUGUUUCUUUAAAUAUAAGUUGAAUUUAAAUUUUGGGUUAAAAUGCUUAAAUUUUUUAGUGGGACGAGAAGACCCUAUAGAGUUUAAUUAGUAAAUGGAUUUUUGGUUGGAUUUAUCUUUAUUUAUUAAUACUAAUUUGGUUGGGGUGAUUGGAAGAUAUUAUAAACUCUUUUAUUUGGUUUUUAUUUAUUUAUUGUUUUUUGAUCCAUUUUUAGUGAUUGUUAGUAAAAAUUACCUUAGGGAUAACAGCGUAAUCUUUUUUGAGAGUUCUUAUUGAUAAAGAGGGUUGCGACCUCGAUGUUGGAUUAAGAUUAAAUUUGGGUGUAGAAGUUCAUUGAUUAGGUCUGUUCGACCUUUAAAAUCUUACAUGAUCUGAGUUCAAACCGGCGUGAGCCAGGUUGGUUUCUAUCUAUUAUAUAUUAUUAUGACUUAGUACGAAAGGACCAGUUAUUUGAAAUAAUUUUUUUAUAUUGUUUAUUAAUAAAACUAUUUUGGCAGAUAAGUGCAAUGGAUUUAGAAUCUAUAAAUGUGGAUUUAUAAUCUACAAUUA
Molecule: ribosomal RNA, 1364 nt
Filed under: Tryonicus mackerrasae
Lineage: Eukaryota; Metazoa; Arthropoda; Insecta; Blattodea; Tryonicidae
Description: 16S ribosomal RNA
Rfam family: Archaeal large subunit ribosomal RNA (bases 871-1229)
Source: RNAcentral